This 204-nucleotide ribosomal RNA is filed under the name uncultured bacterium. RNAcentral's name for it is "partial 16S ribosomal RNA". It matches the Rfam family "Bacterial small subunit ribosomal RNA", at positions 524 to 726 of the family's 1533-position model. The record is from RNAcentral.
UACGAAGGGUGCAAACGUUGCUCGGAAUUAUUGGGCGUAAAGCGCACGUAGGCGGCUUUGCAAGUCGGAUGUGAAAUCCCUCGGCUUAACCAAGGAAGUGCAUCCGAAACUGCAGAGCUUGAGUACUUAAGAGGAUCGCGGAAUUCCCGGUGUAGAGGUGAAAUUCGUAGAUAUCGGGAAGAACCACCAGUGGCGAAGGCGCUC